GAUGAACGCUGGCGGCGUGCUUAACACAUGCAAGUCGAACGGGAAACCUUUUAUUGCAGCUUCGGCAGAUUUAGCUGGUUUCUAGUGGCGGACGGGUGAGUAACGCGUGGGUAACCUGCCUUAUACAGGGGGAUAACAGUCAGAAAUGGCUGCUAAUACCGCAUAAGCGCACAGAGCUGCAUGGCUCAGUGUGAAAAACUCCGGUGGUAUAAGAUGGACCCGCGUUGGAUUAGCUGGUUGGUGGGGUAACGGCCCACCAAGGCGACGAUCCAUAGCCGGCCUGAGAGGGUGAACGGCCACAUUGGGACUGAGACACGGCCCAGACUCCUACGGGAGGCAGCAGUGGGGAAUAUUGCACAAUGGGGGAAACCCUGAUGCAGCGACGCCGCGUGAAGGAAGAAGUAUCUCGGUAUGUAAACUUCUAUCAGCAGGGAAGAUAAUGACGGUACCUGACUAAGAAGCCCCGGCUAACUACGUG
RNAcentral lists this ribosomal RNA (478 nucleotides) under uncultured bacterium. RNAcentral's name for it is "partial 16S ribosomal RNA". It matches the Rfam family "Bacterial small subunit ribosomal RNA", at positions 28 to 507 of the family's 1533-position model. The record is from RNAcentral.